RNAcentral lists this ribosomal RNA (210 nucleotides) under Triticum aestivum (bread wheat). Its description in RNAcentral is "partial small subunit ribosomal RNA". Lineage: Eukaryota; Viridiplantae; Streptophyta; Magnoliopsida; Poales; Poaceae. The record is from RNAcentral.
AUGCCAGUCGCGGGUUGUCCCAAGCUCAACGUAGGUUCGCAAGAGAAAAAGAGGGGGUACCUUGUCUGUCGGUCGAAGAAGGCAACAAACAAGUGGAAGCAACUGAUGCUUUGGUCAUUCUACUCCUUGAUGCCAGUCUAUGCUUGCUGUCAUGCCGGCAAAAGCGGGGGUUUCGGCCGGCUUUACCUACUAUUGGAUUUGAACCAAUGA